CAACAGCCAGCCAGCAAGCUAACAUACCUGCAAAUAUGUCGAGACGCAAGGAUCGACAGCUCAGAGCUACAUACAUUGUGCUUUCUUGUGAGCAUCGCAAGGGAAAGGCUUCCAAAAUGAAUGAUGAAUACACCUUAGACCCUCCAGUCCAGAACCUACCCCUCCAAAAUGGCGUACGAAAAAGACCGGAAGUGACAUAUGUAUCCAAUUAGCAUAAGAGACCUAUUGUGCCGAUCGAGACAAGUUGAGUUGAAGAAUACUAGCUGACAAGGACCCGGGGGGUACCUAAACUUUACCUGCUGGAGAAACAUAUAUGCUCACAAUGGAUUUCUCUUUCAGUAGGCUAUAAAACAACAUUAGUCGGAGGCUGUUUUUCCAAGUGCAUGAAAUAUAGGGUACAAAUGUAAGUACCAACUUGCAGCCAAUAGGGGGCAUCAUUGCUUCGAGCUUUGUAACUAUGCUUUGGUGACCAAUUCAAAAUGGAAUGACGAACGCAUGCGUUGAAAGCCUACAUCUGGCGCCUUCCCCUGGCGGAUGGUCGGAUGUAUACAGUGCCUCACAACUUCCACAGCGUUGAACGGAUGGAUUCGUUCACAUGGCGGCGCUGUGCAUAUCAUUGUGCAUGACUCACCCGGACUACUUUUUUUUUUCUUUAUUUUUUUGUAGGUGUGGAGCAGUGAUUAUACCAGCAUAAUUUACGUGCUUUAUCCACGAAUAGAAGAUUGGAUGAUGGUUGACCCAUAAUGGUUCAGGGGUCACAUGCAAAAUAUGGUUUAUAUUGGCUGUUGGUUUACUGUAACUUCAGUUCAGUCCCUCUGAAUUCUUGUAGGGAUGACAACAUUUGCUCUAUUUUAUUUCAAGGCCAAACUAGCCUGCUACUCAAUACACUAUGGCUGUUGCAUCUAUUUUUCUCCUGUAAAAUGGAUUACAGAAAGUAUGCCGGUGUAUACAUAACUGAAAGGUGUAUGAAAAUAAUGCAUAAAAUAUAAACCCUGAUACAUCACACUUCAAAAUUCA
This is a long non-coding RNA of Anguilla rostrata (American eel), 1017 nucleotides long. RefSeq lists it as uncharacterized. The transcript is spliced from 2 exons. The record is from RefSeq and is a predicted model, not a curated record. Lineage: Eukaryota; Metazoa; Chordata; Actinopteri; Anguilliformes; Anguillidae.